RNAcentral lists this ribosomal RNA (200 nucleotides) under uncultured bacterium. Its description in RNAcentral is "partial 16S ribosomal RNA". It matches the Rfam family "Bacterial small subunit ribosomal RNA", at positions 524 to 724 of the family's 1533-position model. The record is from RNAcentral.
UACGUAGGGUGCGAGCGUUAAUCGGAAUUACUGGGCGUAAAGCGUGCGCAGGCGGUGAUGUAAGACAGGUGUGAAAUCCCCGGGCUUAACCUGGGAACUGCAUUUGUGACUGCAUCGCUGGAGUGCGGCAGAGGGGAUGGAAUUCCGCGUGUAGCAGUGAAAUGCGUAGAUAUGCGGAGGAACACCGAUGGCGAAGGCAA